GUGGGGAAUAUUGGACAAUGGGCGCAAGCCUGAUCCAGCCAUGCCGCGUGAGUGAUGAAGGCCUUAGGGUUGUAAAGCUCUUUUGUCCGGGAAGAUAAUGACUGUACCGGAAGAAUAAGCCCCGGCUAACUUCGUGCCAGCAGCCACGGUAAUACGAAGGGGGCUAGCGUUGCUCGGAAUCACUGGGCGUAAAGGGCGCGUAGGCGGACUCUUAAGUCGGGGGUGAAAGCCCAGGGCUCAACCCUGGAAUAGCCUUCGAUACUGAGAGUCUUGAGUUCGGAAGAGGUUGGUGGAAUUGCGAGUGUAGAGGUGAAAUUCGUAGAUAUUCCCAAGAACACCAGUGGCGAAGGCGGCCAACUGGUCCGAUACUGACGCUGAGGCGCGAAAGCGUGGGGAGCAAACAGGAUUAGAAACCCCAGUAGUCC
RNAcentral lists this ribosomal RNA (425 nucleotides) under uncultured bacterium. RNAcentral's name for it is "bacterial SSU rRNA". It matches the Rfam family "Bacterial small subunit ribosomal RNA", at positions 354 to 796 of the family's 1533-position model. The record is from RNAcentral.